Molecule: ribosomal RNA, 291 nt
Filed under: Escherichia coli
Lineage: Bacteria; Pseudomonadati; Pseudomonadota; Gammaproteobacteria; Enterobacterales; Enterobacteriaceae
Description: partial 16S ribosomal RNA
Rfam family: Bacterial small subunit ribosomal RNA
Source: RNAcentral
GGGGAGGAAGGGAGUAAAGUUAAUACCUUUGCUCAUUGACGUUACCCGCAGAAGAAGCACCGGCUAACUCCGUGCCAGCAGCCGCGGUAAUACGGAGGGUGCAAGCGUUAAUCGGAAUUACUGGGCGUAAAGCGCACGCAGGCGGUUUGUUAAGUCAGAUGUGAAAUCCCCGGGCUCAACCUGGGAACUGCAUCUGAUACUGGCAAGCUUGAGUCUCGUAGAGGGGGGUAGAAUUCCAGGUGUAGCGGUGAAAUGCGUAGAGAUCUGGAGGAAUACCGGUGGCGAAGGCGG